UCUAACAUUGCGCCCUAAUCGGGCGUGUGGACAGUGUCUGGUGGGUAGUUUGACUGGGGCGGUCUCCUCCCAAAGCGUAACGGAGGAGCACGAAGGUUGGCUAAUCCUGGUCGGACAUCAGGAGGUUAGUGCAAUGGCAUAAGCCAGCUUAACUGCGAGACAGACACGUCGAGCAGGUACGAAAGUAGGUCAUAGUGAUCCGG
RNAcentral lists this ribosomal RNA (203 nucleotides) under Phaeocystis antarctica. RNAcentral describes it as "partial Bacterial large subunit ribosomal RNA". It matches the Rfam family "Bacterial large subunit ribosomal RNA", at positions 2221 to 2423 of the family's 2925-position model. The record is from RNAcentral. Lineage: Eukaryota; Haptophyta; Phaeocystales; Phaeocystaceae.